Molecule: long non-coding RNA, 5041 nt
Organism: Dermacentor andersoni
Lineage: Eukaryota; Metazoa; Arthropoda; Arachnida; Ixodida; Ixodidae
Source: RefSeq, a predicted model, not a curated record
CCGCAUUGCAACCCUAUGGCAACCCUCGUGUACACACAGAAGCCAAGCAAGAGAGAUGUACUUCCGCUUCGUCUGCUUCUUCCCACGGUCGUGCAGUCACGGGUACAGGUACCGAAACUAUGCCAUUUUCUACCAUGUUCCAGCGUGUGAUCUUGUUCUGCCUCAGUAUUCGUGUAGCACUGAAUUAUACCGCUAGUCAUUCGUCCUUGUGCACAACACGAAAAAUUGUGCUGAACACACAUGUGCACAGCACACACGUGCAAUCGUGCACAGCUGAAAAAAAGAAGAAAGUGAGCAGGAAAAAAAAAAAAAAAAACGGGGCCCAUGUCGUAUGUGUCACGUGAUCUUUGAGGCCCGGCAUGGGAGAACGCAGGGAAGGAAUUUCGCUUACGGAGGCUAGACAGGGCGAGUGGAGAGAGAGUCACUAUGCAGUGGAGCUUGCUUCCUGAAAUCAUGGGUUCGUGGCACUGAAAUAUUUUUAUCUCGGCUAUUAAUGAGCCGAUUUGAAAAACUUUUUGCGGCAGCAUGCUCCCUGGAGGGCACGUAACAACUUACAGCAUGUAACCAAAAUUUGCUAUGAGGCCUGGUGAGAGGCCCUUUAAAUGUUGUGAUCCCUAGUACGUAAAUUUAAACUGUAUUAAAAAAGCCAUCUUCUUUUUUCUUGCAUGAACGUUUUGAUCAUUAUGAAGUCCAGCAUGUGUAAUAGAUAGAACAGAACUGCAGCUAAUCAGUCUGCGAUAGAUUUCUUUAUCCAGACAAAUUUUUAAUCACUGAUUUGCACAAUUCCAGCUCACACAUUUGAAGUGCAAAUCUAAUGUGAACAAAGCUGUCACAUGGGCAUAGAGCUUAGUUAACAGCUUUGACAAACAUCACCUUAGUACUAGUGCUUUGAUUUUUCUCAUGUGACAUCUUCUUGUGGACAAAAUGAAUCUGGAGCAUUGUAUUGCGAUGAAAGGGUGCUUGAGGCCUGAUGUGAAAGUUCAAGAGCAAAUGUACUUAUUUAUUUAUUUAUUUAGUUAUUUAUUUAUUUAUUUAUUUAUUUCAAUACCUUCAAUGCCCAAAGGUGUUACAGAAAGGAGGGGGGGGGAAAUACAUAAUUGUUGUGAUUGUUGGUGGCUAGUAUAUACAAUAAUAAUUGUCAACAGUGGAUUUAAAUGCAGAAACACUUGGAAUGGUGACGACGGAGGUUGGCAGAUGGUUGCAUUCCCUCGAUGUCUUUGGCAAGAAUGAAUUGGAAAAUAAGUUAGUAUGGCAAAAAGGGAUUUCAACUUUAUGACGAUGAUUAGUACGACAAGACAAAUAAGAUGGCUCAUUAAGAACACUUUUCUAUGCAGAGAAAGGUUAGGAAGUUCCAAAAUGUGUUUCAUCGACGAUACAAUUGAAAAGCAGGAAUAAUUUGACAGAAUGAAACACACAUUACGGUUUUGUACUGAUUCUAAUUUAUUAUUAAAAAAUUCUUUACUGGGAUCCCACAAAGCGCAUGCAUAUUCAAGAUUAGACCUUACAAGUGUUUUGUAUAACAUUAAUUUAAGAGAAGAUGGUGCCCUUGAAAAUUUGCGGCGUAAGAAACCUAACGUGCGAUUAGCGUUGUUAACGACAUAGUUAACAUGGGUUUGCCAAGAAAGGUUAACAGUCAGGUGAACACCUAAAUACUUAUACGUGGUUACCUCGUCUAGUACAGAGCCAUCAAUGUGAUAAAGAGGAGGGUUACAAGUAGAAGCUUUUUGGGAGAUUCUCAUUACUUUACAUUUUUUAACAUUCAAAUGCAUUUGCCAUGCCUUGCACCAGUUAGUUAUAGCGUCGAGGUCAGAUUGAAGUGCUGCAAGAUCAGUGUCAGAUGAUAUGCGAUAAAUUACGCAGUGUUAGAUACGGACCCUUUUUCUGGCAUCACUCGAGUUCCCCAACCACAUCCAAUCCCCGGCGCAUUCCAAUUAAGGUGUGCAGAAGUGCAUCUAACACGUUCCCGGACCUGUCAGACAAGUUGGCGACCCCCACCUGAGGUGCCGCCCAUCGAGCUAUUGUCUCCAUCCCUGCUCGACUCUACCCGAAAAUGCAACGGGAGCCUGGCACCGUUCCAGGUAGUUGAUCCUGGUCCCGAGCAAAGCUGUUUUGCAACUUUUGCAAAAGCUCCUUCGAAAACAACCCGUCUCCUCCAGCUGAGCGCUUUCAGACCAAGAGGCAACACCAAGGCAACGCUGGUGACAAGUCAUCCGUCCAACAGUGGAGCCCUUGGAGCAACCCCGUCUGCCCAAUGUGACGGCACUUGCACGGGCGCCUACCAUUGGAGGAAAGUGACGACACCUGAGCGGCCUCGACGACUGGCCGAAAAUGAUGUGACCCCGAGAGACCAAAGAGUUUAAAAGCGACAGACAGGGAGAAGAGACAGGCAUUCCUUCAUUCAUUCAAUUUUUCAUUCUUCUUGCCACGGGCCGCAGCGUCCGAUUUGAUGCCGGCCAUCAAUGACUUUAUGACUGUUAAUUACUUUGUGUUAUUACUGUAAAUGAUGUAAAUAAACCUUCAGUUUCAUCUCAAAAUCGUCCUCAACAUCGGCCAACUCCCGCACUCAACGGCAAGAUCCAAUAGCAGUCAUCAGCGUAUAGCCUGAUGGAUGAUUGAACUACAUUAACCAGGUCGUUAAUGUAGACUAAAAAUAAAAGUGGGCCGAGGACAGAACCCUGCGGCACACCAGAAGUAUGGACAGGAAGAGGAAUCAAAAUUGUCAGCUGCCACAAAUUGCAUUCUAUUAGAAAGAAAAUUUUCAAUCCAGGCAAAAAUGUUAGGAUCGAUGUUUAAUUUGCUUAACUUUAAACAAAGUAGAGGGUGAGAGACAAGGUCAAACGCUUUCUGAAAAUCCAGGAAUAUGCAGUCGACAAAACACCCAUUUUCAAGAGCAGCGAAAAGUUCAUUGGUCAAGCAAAUUAGUUGCAUCUCACAGGAAAAUUAUUUAUGAAACCCAUGCUGUUUCGUAUCAAUUGCCUAUAGUGUUCCCUUGCAUGUACGAAAAGCCCUUAGCCCUUUCAAUGUACAAUACUCGUUUGACACUUGGGACUUGUGCAAGGCACUGUUUAGGAUUGUAAAUGCCUGUCCACUUUUGAUAAUUACCUUCAGAGUAGACUCGAGGAAAUUAACAAAACAUGAGUAAAUAAUAUGUUCUAAUAUUUUGUAAGGAAUGCUAGUUAAUGAUAUAGGUCUGUAGUUAUAUGGAGAAUUGACGUCACCAGACUUGAAAAGCGGUACCACGCCAGGUAACUGGGCAGAAGCGAUGGACUGUGAAAAAAGUUCUGUUAAUAGAAUAGAGGAGUACAUUGCAGUGUCCUUCAAAAAUUUUGAGUUGAUACUGUCCGUUCUGCAUGACGAAGACAAUUUCAACUUUUUCAUUAAGUGCGACACACCAAAACAAUCUAUAAGCACAGGAUCCAUUGGUGGGUAAAUCAUUCUGCAGUAUGCAGAUGACACUUGGGAAACAGCUGACACUUGGGAAAGAGACAUUGUGAACGUUUCGUUUAACAAGGAACAACAUUGAGAAAGUAGAACAGGGACACCAUCAUUAUUGUUUAAUGAGAUUGUACUGUCUUUAGGACCACCAGUUAUGUUCCAAAACUUCUUAGGAUUUUCUAUAAGUAAUGAUGGGAUAGUUUUAUUGAAAAACACAUCCUUAGCCGAUUUUUAAAACACUUAGCUCAGGUUCGAAGUGCACAUCACAACAAAAAGAGGCUAAGUGUAAGUUUCAGUUUCAAAUUAGUAUGCCUAUUAAGAAUGCCACCUGGAGGGAUAUUCAAAAGAGCAAAACUCAUUGGCAUGGCUUCAUUUAUUCGUGGCAGCGCAUUCAAGUUUGCUGUUUAUUAACAGGUGGAUGAAGAAGGCAAUUCUUGCAUUUUCGAGUCCCGAACAGUUGCAUGGCAAUGAUUGCCAAGCCUCACAACAUGGAGCCACCUCAGAAUUGCACCAAACAAAGAUGAUGGAUGCAGCCAGUGUUGCCAGAUAACUGCAUUUUGACUAUUCUGUGUUUGCAUUUCUUGUGCAAAAGAAAUUCUCGCAGAGAGUUUUAUCUUCAGUGGCCUGCAGUUGACGUCAUCUGCUACAGCUAGCGCAUGAGUUAACUCCAUAGUGUGCCACUAGGAUGGUGACACGGUGUCGUGGGAUGCUUUCUUAAAAGUGGACAAGAAGAUUCUAAAGGAAAAUGUGAGAUGAUCACAGUAAUAAUCAAGGCAUUUGGUAUGGGAAUGACCCAGCUCUGAAGGUAUUAUCACAUGUGGACAGGCAUUUAUAAUCCUAAACGUCGCUUUGCACAAGUCCCAAGUGUCAAAUGAGUAUUGUGCAUUGAAAGGACUAAGGGCUUUUCGUACAUGCAAGUGAACACUAUAGGCAAUUGAUAGCAGUUGCUUAGAUGUACCACAUUAACAGGAACCAAACGAACUCCCUUUGACAUAAGCAUGCAGCAAAUUCAAGGACUAAAUGAAGCUUCAAAGAAGUAACUGCAUUUCAUGUAGGAUAGGAGUGAAUUACCUUUGUGCACGAGAUUAGUGACAAAAACACUAAAUAAAUGCAGUGCAGUGUCUGUGUCAUAUCUGAUGCAGACCCAACUAGCCUGGAGUUUCAGCAUUUUUUGUCAGUUCAUUUAAAUAGGUAAUACAUUGUUCACAGUGCAAUAUUGCUCUACAAGGGGUAAUAUGCAAGAUGUAGCAUGCUAACCCUCGUGGCUCAACAACUACUGAACCGAAACCUCAAUGAGCAGUGGAGCUUCCUUGUAAUUUUCAUCAUAACCAUACUUUUGCUGUUGAAAGUGAACCUCUUUAGUGAAUUUGCUUGUGUAUUACUUUUUCUUUAGGCAAGUAUUUUUUUACAUGUUAAUGUCUCAAUCCUGCUUUCUCUUUCCAAAGCUAAAACAAAAUGCCUCUUAUUCAAUUUGACCUUUUCACCUAGGAAGCCGCCACCUGGCGCUCUGUACAGCAAGCACUUGCUUCAGGCAAGGAGGGAGCAAGCACCAUAUCUACAUCAGUGAGAACAUCAGUGCUGAAAAUAAAAAUUUUCUUUUCAAAUA